UACGUAGGGUGCGAGCGUUAAUCGGAAUUACUGGGCGUAAAGCGUGCGCAGGCGGUUCGUUGUGUCGGCGGUGAAAGCCCCGGGCUCAACCUGGGAAUGGCCGUUGAAACUGGCGAACUGGAGUGUGGCAGAGGGGGUGGAAUUCGCGUGUAGCAGUGAAAUGCGUAGAGAUGCGGAGGAACACCGAUGGCGAAGGCAGCCCCCGGGCUGACACUGAC
RNAcentral lists this ribosomal RNA (218 nucleotides) under uncultured bacterium. RNAcentral describes it as "partial 16S ribosomal RNA". It matches the Rfam family "Bacterial small subunit ribosomal RNA", at positions 524 to 744 of the family's 1533-position model. The record is from RNAcentral.